Molecule: long non-coding RNA, 744 nt
Filed under: Nicotiana benthamiana
Lineage: Eukaryota; Viridiplantae; Streptophyta; Magnoliopsida; Solanales; Solanaceae
Description: long non-coding RNA (NBEN_LNC004331)
Source: RNAcentral
CUCCCCCCAUCGUAGAUGGUUCAGCCACGCCCGGUGCCACGAAAUGAUUGAGAACUACGACGGGGUCGAAAUGAAUUUUGUUCUUUGUAUUCAAUAAGUAUUGCAUGACCGAAUAAUUCAAGGAAGGGCGGACUGCGGGGAGGUGGUGCCACGAAAUGAUUGACAACUACGACGGGGUCGAAAUGAAUUUUGUUCAUUGUAUUCAAUAAGUAUUGCAUGAUCAAAUAAUUCAAGGAAGGGCGGACUGCGGGGAGGGUCCUUUUAAGUAGAUGACUCGUCGGGCGAUCAGAGUGGGACUUCUUUAGGAAAAAGAACUUGAAGGCCCCACUUACACGAAGUGAUUUAGAAAGAUUCUUCUUUAUCGAUGGUGAUCGGUGCCUUGCUUCUUUUUCGGCCAAAUCCUGAUUUCGUUUUGCUUCUCCCGAUCGUCGAGCCUGAUCGACUCGACUCUUUUCCCUGCCCCCCGGCCUCUCACUUCGUUUCGUUCUUCUUCUGUACCGUCGCUUGAAUGAAGACACCCGAUCGGCCCGACUUUCCCAAAUGCCCCCCACCGGCCCUUCUCCUUUACGGGUCUGGAUUUUUCGCGUCGUUUCAGUCGUCGUGGUCGACGGGGAAGAAAGAAAUGAAUGAAUGUUCUUUUGGGAAAAUGUAUAAUAAUACACCUACCGAGACGAAAGCCAAAGGUGAGUCUCGUAGGUGGACGUAUCGAACCGAAAUAAGAUCUCAGAUUGACAUCUUGAUACA